Molecule: unclassified non-coding RNA, 5019 nt
Filed under: Hevea brasiliensis (rubber tree)
Lineage: Eukaryota; Viridiplantae; Streptophyta; Magnoliopsida; Malpighiales; Euphorbiaceae
Source: RNAcentral
GAGAAAGCUACAAGAACCAGAAUAGUAAGUACUUAAUUGUUAUUUGGUUUUAUUCUGGUUAUUGUUUGAUUUAUAAGAAUAAGAUUUCUAUGUUGCUUAGAGGGAGGGUUUGUUAUGGAUCCUUUCUUACAAAUAAACGACAAACAUAACAUAGAGAUUUCACAUAGCCUAAUUUUGCUGCUUUUCACAAUGCAAAAAUCUAGGACUGUUCCAAAGUGCUUAUAUUUUACAUUUUAACAAAACAAAAGGGGAAUGAAGUAAAGACCUAUGGUUGGUAGAAGGAUUUCAAAGCUUUACGGGAACAGAUUGAUGCUAUGUUGUUUAGAUACAAUGGCUGGAAGUUGAGUGGAACUGUAAGAUGAAACUGAGGCAUGACUUGUUGGCUAGACUGCUGGAAGUUUUGAAGAAAAGAUGGAAACCAUAUAUUUCACACCUAGAAUUACUAGGGCUACAUGAGCACCACCUACUUACAAAAGGUUAAGGAUGCAUGAUGUAGAACCAGGAAGAACAGAAAGCAAUGAGAAACCAAUUCUCAAAAUUAAUAGGAAACAAAUUCUCAACUUUUAUUUCUCUGAGCAAUAGUCAAUAAUCAUAAAAGUCUGUAAAUAAAAUAGAGAAACUAAGCCCUAUGUAUAGAGUUCUGAAAUCCCAAUUGCAUUAGGAUUUUAGAAAGAUUAGCACUACCUUGUAGAAAAUUUUCUUACUUUUCAGAAAUAUUUUGAAGAAAAUAAUAGUUGUUAAAUAACAUGCUUACAUGUUCAAAUAGGUUUCCCAAAUUAAGAUACUCUUUGGAAAGCUGUUUAGUAGUAGAUUUCUUUUGUGAAACAGCCAGUUCAUGAAAAGUUCUUUACUUUCCUUUGAAUCUAUUAAUUACGUGUAUUGAUGGACAUCAAAGUACCAAAUUUUCUGCAGGUAUGAUCUAUGAAUAUGAAUGGCUUUUUUUCCCAGUACAUCUGUCUGCACAUUGUACUUCUUUCCACAUAAUUCAGCUCUUCUCUUUUGUUACAUAAAUAUUAUAACUACCAAUGGUUAUAGCUUUGCAGUUUUCAGUUCACACAAAUCUCAACUGAUCUUUUAUAACCUGUUUUCAACGAGUCCAAUUUUUUCCCAUUUUUCUUGUUUCCUAUUUUAAAUUUUAUAUUGUGAACUACACUUUGUAAAAUGGGAUUUUACUAAUGAUAUCUUCUUAUUUGUGUAAUUCAAUAUUAUGUUUUAUAAUUUUUGUUAUCUAAAUGAUUCCUUUUUUAGAUUAUUUUGUGAGUAUUUUGUUAGAGUCUAUUUUGUAUUAUUGUUGAAACUGCUACUGAGAAAAACACUUUUUAAAAUUUAUAAGUUAGAGAGAAUUAAAAAAAUUGAUUUAAAAUUAAAUUUAACGUUUUAAAUCAAAAGAAUAUUAAAAUAAUAAAACAGUUCUUUCCAAACUACUUUUUCAACAGCAUCUAAAAUUGUACUUUUCGAAAAAGCAUUUUUUGGCACCUGAAUCUCAAUGGUACUAUUUUCUUCCAAGAAUGAUUAACUUCAGAAUUUUGAUAGGCUUUGAAGCACAUCAUGAUCACACCACCAACCUAGAAGAAAAGGAUAAUUAUUUUUUAUCAAAAAAUCUUCAUCAAUACCAAAGUAAAAACUUUGUUUCCAGAUUUGCUGGCAGAACCCAUAAACCCUUCUUUUUUUACAUGAAUGAGCUUUCUUACCUCCAUCCCCCAACUUUCCCCCUAAAGGAGAAAACAAGCAACAAAGCAUUAUUUCUCUAUCCCAAGUGGUUUCCAUUUCACUUUAAACAAAUAGAGAAUAAAUAGUUUAUUAAUUCCAAUGGCAGAAUUCAAGAUAAGUAAGGUUGGACCAUAACCUCAAAUUCACAAGCAUCCAUGUGGGUUACAUGGCCAAAUUUCAGCAUAAAACUGAAAAAUUACUACAAUUCAGAUAUACAAGUUUCAAAUCUAUCGUUUCCAUUAGACCUAUCUGAAAACAAAAGCAAAUAUUAUAUUGAAUCUUCAGCUGACUACCAAGUAAAAGAUAAAACAGAAGCAGAAAGGAAUGCACAGGUAUUAUGUACGAGGUGUUUGUUUGUGCCACCACCAAAAACAGAAAAAUAGAAAACCAUAUAAGAGAUGACGAUGUGGUAGCACAUAAAAACAGGGAAAUACUAAAACAUAAGUACAUAAUAAUAGUAGUGCCCCUUGUAAACCACGAGCAAAAUCAAUCAUACCCAAUAGCCUCUCAAACUGUGUCUCACCAUCAAAUUGCAUCUCUAAGGUGAAAAUUUUGGAGUUCUUUACAGACAAUAUGUACUAUUAUGCUUUAAAAUUUUUAUGUCAAAACAUGUCGAGAUUUAUCUUUUUUUAAAAAACAAGCAUUGGUUCAUGUUUUAAGUUACAAAUAUACUGCCUUAAGCAUUUUUUAUGCAGUGUGCAUUGCAAAUAUCCUCUCCAAAUCAUGUCUCACUAUCAUAAUUUGGUUUGCCAAUUUUUUUUUUACUUUUUUUGGUUUCUUUUUUAUUGCCAUUUUAAAAUUGAUCUUGAAUGACAGCACUCUUAAGAUCCCACAAACAAUUCAAUAGUCCAAACACUCAAGGACAUUUAGGGUGCAACAGCAUCUUCUAAAUUUGUAUAUCCAUUUUAUGCCAAAAAAAGUUAAUAGACUCAUAGAAUGCAUGCAUAGAUAGAUGUAUUUACUUUUUUUUUUUUUGAAAGUUGUGACCUACAUAAAUAGUUCAAAAACCUUCUGCCAAUAUGUGAAUCUCACUCCCUACAAAGUUGCCUCUACUUCACAAAUUUAGUUUCAAGAGGAAAUUUCUUAAACCUUUAUCUCAAAAUGUUUCAAGUCAAAUCAAACUGCAGAGAUGCAAAUGUGUGAGAAUAGAUGUUAUAUUUCAUAAUAUUUGCUGUACCUAAGUACCUUAUUUUUAUAGUGUUUUUAGUAUUAAUUUUAGUAGUUUUUAUUAUUUUUUCCUAGUUAUUUUGUUAAUUUCUUAAUUUUAUUGUUUUUAGAGAGCUUUGGUGUUUUUGUGCCUGUUUUCAGAAAAAUUAUCAAUUUGGAGCAAGAAUUUGGAGAAUUCAUCAAUUGAGUUUGAAAAGUAGCAAUUUUGCAGUGAAUCUCACACCCAAGCCAAGGGAUUCAGCAGAAUUUCACUCCCUGGCCAUGAGGCUUACUGCUUGCGAAGAGAAUAAAAAAAAAUUUGGUUUUGAGCAACUUAAUUCGGCCAUGGCAGUGAAACUCACGGCCAGGCCUUGGGAAUGGGUCAAGGCGGUCUUGUGUGGUGUUUUAGAGGGGUAUUCUUCCUAUUUUGCUCUGGUCUCCUAUUCAGAUAUGGAAUUGGAGAUUCCAGCUGACCCUAGCCAUACAAAAGCCGAUAUUUUCAUCUGUUGAGGACUUAUGGCUGCUGAAAACUCGAGGAAGACUAAUCUGAGCUGGGAUUCAAGCAAGGAGAAUUUAAGACCUAGAGAUUGAAGAGAAGAACCACCUUCUCCACAAUUAUUCUAGAGUUUUUAUUUCUCUCCCUUGUUCUAUUUUGAAUUUAUUUUCUAGAACUCAUUGUGAGGAUGAUUAAGGAUUUUUAUUUAAGUGAACUUGUGUUUGAUUUUGUUAUUAUGAGGAACUAAAUUCUUAGGGUACCUGAUGUAGUGUGGAUUUAAAUUCAAUUCUAGAAAUUUUGUAUUAGUUUUCUUUAUUAAUGGAAUUGUCUAUUAUUUGGGUUUAACACUUUUGGGCAUUUUAUUUAUCCUUAAUUGAUUUCAAUUCAUAAUUGGUACCAGGAACGAAUUGAGAAUCCUAAUAAACACAUGAAUAAUAAUUGGAGUGGGAAUAAUCACUAUACUUAGUGAAUUAAUUGGUAUUUAUUUUUCCAUUGGAAGAUAGGUAAUAGAUUUCAAUUAAUAUUUUUAUUAAGUCUCAAGACGGAUUUAUUAAAUAAUUUAGGAUCAUUGAUCCUUGCAUUAGUAAUCAAAUUUGGAUUAUUAAACAAAUUGGAAUUGAUAAUUAGACCAAGAGAAAUCAAGGAUACCUAGUCCUUUAUCAACUGAAUUUUUAACCAGCUUUUAUUGUGUUCUUUAGAGUUAAUUUUAAUUUUAGAUUUUAGUUAAAUUUAUUGUCCAUUCCCAUUUAAUUUCGACUGUUUAGAUAUUAGUAAGGUUAGUGCAUAUUUUUGGUAUUUAAUUGCAUUCCUCAUGGGAAUUAUAUCUAAUUGAUCACUGUAUUACUCAAGCGAUUUUGUAUGCUUGCAAAAAAGCCUAUCAAUAUUAUCAAUGACACAAACAUCAAACGGGAAUCAGUUUGAUCAUCCAUCAAAGUAUAUUACUCCUCCAAUAUCUACUUCACUCUAAAAUUAAAGUAAAAUCAAACAUGCAAAAGAAAGGAGGGAAAAGGGGGAAAUUCACAUCAGUGCACCAAUCAAGCCGAAGAAACUGACCUACUUGGAAACCAUGAGACAGAAGAGGUCAUACAUAAAUUAAGGAAAAGAUGAGGUUAAAUAUCAAAGCCCUGAAAAAAUAACUACUAGCUAUCAUAACAAAGGGAGAGAGGAGGAAGAGCCAUAUGGUCCCAGCAUCGUCCAAAAAGGGCAAACAUGAGUACGGGGGAGCUGUGAUCAUGAACAAUGUGUCUUCCAAGAUAUAUCUUGUUGACUACUAAUAAAAAUUUAAAAUCUUCAAACAGGACAACCACUUUUGUCUCUCUUAGCAAGGAGUGAAAAAAUGCUAUGAAGAAAAAAGCCCCAUUUUGAAAAUUAAAAUGAUAUAUGGAAAUGGAACCGUCUAAGGCCCCAGUAAAAAUUAUGAUUGUUCUCCUAAUUAAGUUAACUUUGCUAUAUUUUGUAAAUUCAAGAAGUUUUGAGUCCUAAACACUAUCAUGUGCACCCUUCCAAAUUCCUUUUUGAAAAAACAAAAUUACAGUUCAAGCAAGUUUAUUAAUUAUCAGGUAAUUUGCAAUAAGAACAAUAUUGGACAGGUUAAAGAAAAUGUCAAGAAUGGAGGAAAUACAUCUUUUUACCUCUCCUUGUUCCAGUUUCAUAAUCAUCAGCAUUAA